Molecule: long non-coding RNA, 423 nt
Filed under: Sinocyclocheilus anshuiensis
Lineage: Eukaryota; Metazoa; Chordata; Actinopteri; Cypriniformes; Cyprinidae
Description: lncRNA (ENSSANG00000048935.1)
Source: RNAcentral
AUUAACAACCUACUGUAUUCAAAUCUAAUGGAGGGUGGUGUAAUUUUGUGUUUUGAUAGGAGCAAAAGGCAGCUGAGGUCACUAAACCACGUGGCCCAUGGGAAACAAAGGGUGCCAAGGUGUUCGCAGCCAAGAGUAAAUUUGUCACAAAUGGAACAAGAAAAUAAAGACAUCCAACAGAUCCCAGAUCAGCCAAAAUGGAAGAUGCAGCCAUUAAUUAUGCAUGAUUUUGUAACUUCAGGUUACAUUGGAAAUCAAUCGACAACUUAACAGUACAAAAUAAAUAUUUUAUAAGUUCAAAAAUUCUUACAAUAGUACACAAAAAUGCCAUUAAAAUUAAACAUUUAAAUUUAUUACAAUUACCAUGAAUUGCACAAGCCCAAUAAUACAUAUUAAAGUAUUAGUAUCAAACAUUAUAAGCGA